This 2469-nucleotide long non-coding RNA is filed under the name Nicotiana tabacum (common tobacco). RNAcentral describes it as "long non-coding RNA (NTAB_LNC007173)". Lineage: Eukaryota; Viridiplantae; Streptophyta; Magnoliopsida; Solanales; Solanaceae. The record is from RNAcentral.
GACCCAAAUAAUGCACAGCCCUACCUUUAAUAUUAGCUAAGCGGCUUAGAUAUACUCCUCUAUUAGAGUUGUUCAAGAUGGACACCUAAUUCAGCAUGGUACUGACAUUUGGCAAGAUGGAUACCGGAUGACAUGCUAUCUCGUUGCCCCAACUUAUUAUAUCCCAUCCCCUGCGCUUCUUCUACACAGUGCACUCGCACUCUCCUCAUUCAAUUUUCACGGAUAAACACACAAAUUAACAUAUAUUACGCUCUGACAAAAAACGUUGUUCAUCACUAAUUGUGACAAAACAUUUUCCUCCAUAGCUAACUAGCACCACCAAGCUCCAUUACUCUAUUAAUCCCACGCCAAUAAUCACAUUUCUUUCAUCAAUGACGCGAGAGUCGGCCCCUCCGUCCAUCCCCCGGCUAUCCUACUUAAAAGGAAAAUCAUUCUUAUCUCAAAACUCCUAUUGGUAAAAGAGUUUUUGCGGCUGAGUCAAAACUCAAGGAGCUCGAGGUUUUGGGUGUUCAGAUCUAGGCCAAAAGAAUCAACCCAAGCGACACUUUCCGGUCGAGCUUCGAUCUUUCGAAAGAUUCCAGUUCAUGGCUUCGUCCAGUUGUUUGAGUUUGAAAAUGCUGAAAUUUGUUUCGUCAGUGUAAAGAUCUUAAGGUCCUUUCUUCUCUUUAACACUUGUGGUUCUUGGUUUAAUGAUUUAUUUAAAUUUUGCUCGCAUUGUAUUUUUCCAUCAAAUGAUAAUCUUGUUGUUUAUGUGAUUGCUAGUGGCUUGGAAUCGCAUAUCUAAUUAUUUUCUGGAGUUUAUAUAUAUCAUUUAAUUAUAUAAAUAAAAUACAAUAUAAAUACUAGUGGCAGAAGAAUUAGAGCAAAGAAGGUAAAAUGUAUUGUGGGUGGUGAGGACCAAAUAUUAGGGCUACAUGAGAUUGGAUGUUCAUUUUGAACAAUUCUAACGGAGGGACAAUUCUAAUGGAGGAGGGAUAUAUUUGGGCCACUUAGCUAAUAUCGAUGAUAUUUUUGGGUAAAUGUAAUUUGGCAUAGCAGAGGAGCAAAUAUGAGCACUAUUUCCUCUUUAAAUAGUGAUAGUGACCAGUGAAUUGGGACAUAUAUGGGUUAGGAGUUCCGUUUGUCGUUACUCAGUGGUUUUACACGAUUUGGGCCUUUUUAGAUGGCAUAAGCCAAACUGAUCAUCACUUUUGUAACCUUGUAUUUAGAAGGCAGAAUAUAUAAUUUGUCGCCUGAGCUUGAUGUCAAAUCCUUCUGAUAUACUUUUUCAAUUAGGACAACCAUUUAUACACCCAAUCUGUCCAAAAUGUGUCUAAAACACCCCCUUUGGUUACAUGGCACUCAUGUUUUUUACACACAAAAAAGACGUGUUAACCCUAUAUAAUGUCUGUCCCAAUCUUUAUUUAAGUCUGUGCGUCAGACUAUUUUACUUUUCUUUUUUUUAAACAAAAAAUAUUUGGUUUCCUUUCCUUACCCAGUGAUCUCACUAUUCCCCAACGUCCCUUACUGUUCAGCGCUGCAACCCCACUCCCCCGCGUCUGGGUCGGGAUCCCCUCUAGUGAUGUUUGGUCCAGUAUCGUUCAAUAGGGUGCUGAUUUUCUGAUACGUGUCGUACUAACUAACCAAUGGACAAGAUUUCCUUAGCUAAAAACUAGUUUAACCAUGGUUCUGUUUCUCUUCUCUCAGUUGUUCUUCUUUAACCCUUUUCAAGCUAUUCUUUCGUCCUCUUUCUUUUUGCCUUCUUUGCUCUCUAUGACUAGUAUUUCUUUUAUUUGCAAUAUUAAUUAUUGGGUGGUGGAGAGAGGACUCUUCUUAAUAAACAUUUGCACUUGCCUCACCUUAUUCAAAUUAGUCCAAGAAAGAAAUAAGCAAAUAACAAUGUCCCGAAAGGAUAUCUAGCGAUUCAAAUAGGGCAAGUAGAAGAUAAUGUUUCAUACUUCAAUCGCCCAUUUUUCAUUCUGUUACUCAAAGAGGCUGAGGCAGUAAAUUUUUUUAAUCAAAAGGGUACACCAUUACCAUUCCUUGCUAUGUCGACGACUUUGCUGCGUUCCAGCCAAGAUUGAUAAAUACCACCAACACCCUCUUCAUGUCCGAUGUUUAUUGUUUUAGAUCCUAAUUUUUUUUCUUUUCGAAGGUAUGGUUGAGAUGAAAAGUGGCAUCCUAGAGGAAUUCGUUUUGCGGCUAUGCAUGAGACGGAAUUAAAAUGGCUUCGAACGUCACUAAACUCAAUCCUGAUAUCGCAGAAAGAAAGCAUCUCUAGGUGAUUUGACCUUCCUCUUUACUCAGUGGCGGAGCUAGAGAAGUUAAUGCGAGUUUGGACGAACCCAGUAACUUUUGCUUAGACUUUGUAUUUGUAUUAAAAUGUUCAAAAAAUAUGUAUAAAUAUUUAAUUGUGAACCCAGUAACUAAAACGAGUUAUGAGUUCGAUGAUAAAUUCAAAACCCAUAAAUUUUUAAUCGUAUUUCCGCC